RNAcentral lists this long non-coding RNA (263 nucleotides) under Lathyrus oleraceus (garden pea). RNAcentral describes it as "Pisum sativum (pea) long non-coding RNA (PSAT_LNC004740)". Lineage: Eukaryota; Viridiplantae; Streptophyta; Magnoliopsida; Fabales; Fabaceae. The record is from RNAcentral.
CCAAGUUCAACAAGGUCAAACCAAGUUUGACAAAAAAUUUCAGCAUUUUUAAAAGUCAGAAACUAUUUUUAAUCAAUUAAAAAUGAAUAAAAAUAACCUAAUUGAACUAAAAUCUCAAAUAAAUCUCAAAUCAUUAAAAAAUUGAUGAGAAUAUUUUUCAUAGAUCCAUCAUCAUUCAAAUAGGUUAGGAAAAUAUUUUUGUAUUUUUUGAAUAUCAAAAACAAUUUAAAAUGAAUUAAAAAUAACCAGAAAAGAGAAAAUUC